This is a long non-coding RNA of Corvus hawaiiensis (hawaiian crow), 520 nucleotides long. RefSeq lists it as uncharacterized. The transcript has 2 exons. The record is from RefSeq and is a predicted model, not a curated record. NCBI's taxonomy places the organism in Eukaryota, Metazoa, Chordata, Aves, Passeriformes, Corvidae.
AAGCGACCAAGGGCAGGCGGCGGCGCGGCGGUGACGUCCCAGGGGCUGUGAGGGGGCCUCGGUCCGGGCAGAGGAGCCGCGGGAACCGGGAGCGCUUUUGGGGUCGAGACUUGGGCCGGGGGGUUCCCGGGGGCCACGCGGUGUCUUUGGUGGCCUUUAGGAGGGUCAAAGGAAAGAGUCUCCGGUUGUGGGUGAAAAAUCUCCGUUGAGGGACACCCCGUGGAAGAGGCUGGCGCUGUGCUCGUGCCGGGUGCUGGAAUUGCCUGUCUGGACGUGUGCUGAGCUCUCGCUGCUGUGGACUGUGCAGCCUCAGUUGCUGCAGGUUCCUGUUCUUCUCACCAGCUCAAAGUACACGUGGGGUUUUUUUGCCCUUCUAUAUAGAGCUGUUGAGUUUGGGUGAUUUUCCUGAAUUGAGGAUAUUGAAGGUCGAGAAGGAAGAUUUGUCUCUUUUUGUGCUUUUCUGUUGUUUUUAGCACCUGCUCAGCAUCUGAACGUGGUUGGAAUACUGGAAACAUAAAAG